Oncorhynchus kisutch (coho salmon) is the source of this 973-nucleotide long non-coding RNA. RefSeq lists it as uncharacterized. The record is from RefSeq and is a predicted model, not a curated record. The transcript has 3 exons. NCBI's taxonomy places the organism in Eukaryota, Metazoa, Chordata, Actinopteri, Salmoniformes, Salmonidae.
ACUGUAGCUUGUCAUACAAUUUACCACCUUGUCUGAAUCGAUCCUUGACCGACUCGUCCGUCUACAUAUCCAAUUGCUAACAGUUGCUAUGGCCAAUGUAGUAAGUGGAAAGUGGCAGUUAUGAUUGAACAAUAUGAUUUUAUGAACAUAACCUCAAAGAGAGCCCAUAUAAGAAGAUACGCAGGCGAAUGGAAACACAUUGGGAAGGAAAUCUAAGCAAAGAGAUAUAUUCAAUCCACUAGUACAAAAAAAAAGUGAUUUUAACAUAAAAACGUAUUUAUAUUUAGUAUUUUGAUCUUCGACAAGGUUUAUUUGCGACAUUUUACAUUGCCAUAGAAACGACUGACGCCAAUGCGUCACUGGCAGGAACCAGCAGAUUGUCUGAAUGAGAUUUUGCGCGGAGAGUGAAUCGAAGAGAGGUAACGUCAACCGGUCAUGACUGUUGUUGACUAGGCUAGCGUUAGACACUGGACAACUUUGUUACAACUCUAGAUUAAGGAUGACAUCUUCAUCUCUGAAAAUGUUUUCAUCCUGGAGGAGAAUGUGCAGGAAGCAGAGGAAAGAAUGGUUUGUACAGCAUGCCAAACGGACCCCUAGGAGCCAGUGUUGCUGUGCUGCGGUAGAGAAGAGGUUCAUCGGGACCAUCACUAAAGAGCUCGGGGCCCCGCCCAUAUCCGCCAUAGAUGGAGCUGACGGAGAGUGAGAUCACUCGCUGAAUGAACCUGACAGCUCAGAAUUACAAUCAUCUCAGUGCGAGACAAGAUAUACUAUCUAUCACUUUGGGGGUGCGGGAUAGUGUUCCCGAAAAAUGGAGAAGGAGCAGGCCAUUCAACAGCGAAUUAAAAGAUACACCCAUCCUUAAAGGGAAUCAGAGUGGAAUUGUUUUUCCACAGAUUUAAAAAAAAAAACUGUUUUAAUGGAUGUGUUACCUUGUCCUACUGUUAUAAUGGAUGUGUUACCUUGUCCUACUGUU